AUUGCUUCUUGGACUUUUGGCUAAGAUCAAGUGUAGUAUCUGUUCUUAUCAGUUCGGUUGUAUCUUUUACAGAACAAAAAACUUACAUUUCAGUGGAUUUGGCUUUGUACAUUUGAUGUUAAACACAAGAACUCCACUUUACCUAAGCUUAGGAGUUGCUUCUCUAUUACAUAGGAAUUCAA
This is a non-coding RNA of Myodes glareolus (Bank vole), 182 nucleotides long. The record is from RefSeq and is a predicted model, not a curated record. Lineage: Eukaryota; Metazoa; Chordata; Mammalia; Rodentia; Cricetidae.